UCCCACAUCCCAAAGUACCACAGGCUUGUAUGUUAAUUGUAAGUUGUCCCUAGUGUGUGUAGGAUAGUGCUAGUGUGAUGGCUGGUCGGUGUGGACUCACUCGGGCCAGGGUACGCCCAAAGUAAACUUGGAUUCCAAACAUUUGAUAAGAUUUGAAGGGAGUGAAGCUCGUGCAGUAAUCAGUCUCCGCUUAUCCAUUGCACCAGCUGUCCCCAAUGAUCUAACAGCAAAUAUCAUUCAGAUUGUCGAACAGGACCUGACUCAUAAUGUGGCUGCUUCCCUGACUGUGUGUAGCAAGUUCUCAAUCUUAUCCACGUGAGUAUUUACUGUGGCCACGAGUCACUGGGCUCGAUCGAAGCUCAGUCUGAAAACACUCACUUUUUUUAGUUGGACAAAAAUGCUGGAGAAACUCAGCGGGUGAGGCAGCAUCUGUGGAGUGAAGGAACAGGUGACGUCUCGAUCCAUAGAUGCUGCCUCACCCAGCUGAGUUUCUCCAGCAUUUUUGUCGGCCUUCGAUUUUUCCAGCAUCAGCAGUUCUUUUUUUUAACUUUUUUUUGUUCCAUCUAUUGAAAUCUUAGCGUUACUGAGCUUCAGCUCUGAACAUAGCCGAACGUGUUCAGUCCUGUCCAAAUCCAGGUAUGCAGGUAUGAUAAACCUUGUCAGACUCUGCUGUUUGCAUCUGGCCUGCACAAGCCGUAGAAUUAAACAGCUGCCACACUUGUGGAACAUUGUGCAAUGGUAAACAGGCCUGUGCCAGGAGCUCCUGGUAUAAGACGUUGGGAGUUAACUGUGGAAAUGUAACUAACACAGUCUUGCGCUGAUAAAACAUAGAAACUAGGAAUGGCAGAUGCAGGUUUACACCAAAGCACAGAAUGCUGGAGUAACUCAGCGGGUCAGGCAGCAUCUGUGGAGAACAUGGAUAGGUGACGUUUCAGUUGCUGACCCGCUGAGUUACACCGGCACUGUCCUUUUAUUGCUGAUAUACAUGUCUGUUGCAUAGAAGAUUGUUAUGGGUGCAGAGUGGAUCCAUUCGCUCCUUGACCUAACCUCCUGGGCAAGGCCUUCAGUUUAUACUCUCUGUAAACCAGAGGCUCUCUGGGUUUGACUGAGGAACCUGUGACCACUGGCCUUGCCUUUGUAGAAUAUCACAGCCCCCAAGGUAGGAAUCGGCAAAGGGUGCAGCGGGUAGAACCACUGCCUCACAGCGCUAGAGACCCGGUUCGAUCCUGGCCUUGUGUCUGUGUGUGUGGAGUUUGCACGUUCUCCCCGUGACCACGUGCAGUUUCCACCCACAUUCCCAAAAGUGGGUUAACAUAGAAUGGGGUGGUCUCGGUGGGCCGAAGGGCCUGUUUCUCCCAACUAAAUGUACUGCUUCCCCAGAGCUGGCUCAGCCCAUUUAUACCCGAUCACCCAUCUUCAAGUGAGAACGGCCUGUGUUCAGUUUGGAAGCACUGUUGAUGGUGGCAGUUCCAUGUGUGGAGGAGGCCAGGUGGAUCCACCGAGGCCGACAGCUAAUGUCCCUGGAACCUCCUGUCGACGUCUCUCAUUACAUCCACCUGAGAAUAAUGUGCUGAAUAGCUCUGGACUCUGCCUAACAAUCUCUGCAAGAUCAUUUUAUGUAAAUUUAGAUGUAUGCAAUAAAAUAGUUUGAUAAUUUCCAUUUUCUAUCAUGUAAUUUUUAAGAAAUCUUUUAACUUCAAAUAUGAUUUCAAUAAAAGAAAGGGUCAUUUAA
Amblyraja radiata (thorny skate) is the source of this 1732-nucleotide long non-coding RNA. RefSeq lists it as uncharacterized. The record is from RefSeq and is a predicted model, not a curated record. The transcript is spliced from 2 exons. Lineage: Eukaryota; Metazoa; Chordata; Chondrichthyes; Rajiformes; Rajidae.